RNAcentral lists this ribosomal RNA (61 nucleotides) under Heterophyidae sp. ABG-2015. Its description in RNAcentral is "partial 5.8S ribosomal RNA". Lineage: Eukaryota; Metazoa; Platyhelminthes; Trematoda; Opisthorchiida; Heterophyidae. The record is from RNAcentral.
UCCUUGAACGCACAUUGCGGCCAUGGGUUAUCCUGUGGCCACGUCNGUCCGAGGGUCGGCU